AUAGCGUAUAUUAAAGUUGUUGCAGUUAAAAAGCUCGUAGUUGAACCUUGGGUCUGGCUGGUCGGUCCGCCUCACCGCGAGUACUGAUCCGGCUGGACCUUUCCUUCUGGGGAACCUCAUGGCCUUCACUGGCUGUGGGGGGAACCAGGACUUUUACUGUGAAAAAAUUAGAGUGUUCAAAGCAGGCCUUUGCUCGAAUACAUUAGCAUGGAAUAAUAGAAUAGGACGUGUGGUUAUAUUUUGUUGGUUUCUAGGACCGCCGUAAUGAUUAAUAGGGAUAGUCGGGGGCGUCAGUAUUCAGCUGUCAGAGGUGAAAUUCUUGGAUUUGCUGAAGACUAACUACUG
RNAcentral lists this ribosomal RNA (345 nucleotides) under uncultured eukaryote. RNAcentral describes it as "SSU rRNA". It matches the Rfam family "Eukaryotic small subunit ribosomal RNA", at positions 594 to 945 of the family's 1831-position model. The record is from RNAcentral.